RNAcentral lists this ribosomal RNA (253 nucleotides) under uncultured bacterium. Its description in RNAcentral is "partial 16S ribosomal RNA". It matches the Rfam family "Bacterial small subunit ribosomal RNA", at positions 524 to 776 of the family's 1533-position model. The record is from RNAcentral.
GACGGAGGGUGCAGGCGUUGUUCGGAAUUACUGGGCGUAAAGCGCGUGUAGGCGGUUCGAUAAGUCGGACGUGAAAGCCCGGGGCUUAACCCCGGAAGGGCAUCCGAAACUGUCGAGCUUGAGUACGGGAGAGGGAAGCGGAAUUCCUGGUGUAGAGGUGAAAUUCGUAGAUAUCAGGAGGAACACCGGUGGCGAAGGCGGCUUCCUGGACCGAUACUGACGCUGAGACGCGAAAGCGUGGGGAGCAAACAGG